This 484-nucleotide long non-coding RNA is filed under the name Rattus norvegicus (Norway rat). RNAcentral describes it as "long non-coding RNA NONRATT032415". The record is from RNAcentral. Lineage: Eukaryota; Metazoa; Chordata; Mammalia; Rodentia; Muridae.
CACAGCAUCACCUGGAUCCUGAGUGGGGAAGUUAAGGCAGGUGGUUGGAGUUCCCAGUUGAGCUUUCUUUCCGUGGCUGAGCUGAGCUUCCCAGGACUGGAUUUUCAGCUUCUCCUUCCCACUGCAGGCAUUUGUAUCAUGGAUGAACAUUCGACUUCUGUCGUCAGGGCUGGCAGCAUGGCUCAGCAGCUAAGAGUGCUUGUUGGCCUUGCAGAGGACCUUGGUUUGGAUACCAGAACACACACGACAACUCACAGCUAUAAGCACAGUUCCAGAAGGUCCAAUGCCAACCUUUAUCACCUUUAGGAACUUCACAAUACAGUAUAUGUCCAUGCAGGCCUAGAAAUAAACAAAUAUAUUUUGAAUUUUUUUAAAUUUCUGUUGUCAUUGGAAUGUAUCGUGGCUUUUCCAAAAUCUGUGUCUUUUCCGAGUGGGAAAUAUGUAUGCACAUUUGACACAUUCUGCACUGCAUGCAGCAAAGUAG